AAAGUGGAGACACAAACGGCGCCCCAUACUCCACUCUGGGAGGAAGUAGGAAGGAGGAAGUUAUUGGACUCGGGCGCCAAUUAGAAAGAGGUAACGAAAAUGCCUGACAGUUGUUCUUCGGUUGUACGUGCUAACUGACAAGGAGACAAGCCCGGGUUGUGCUUCUAAAGAAUCCCAUGUGAGAGUGAGAGUCCAGAGGAAAGUGUGGAUUAUUGCUAGUAGACGCUCUUUUGUCACCUGAGAGGAAACAAAUCAAGCGACAAAGUUUACAGGACUCGAGCGAACAAUUCAUUUAUGUUUCCUUAUUCAUUCCCAAGAGACAGUGUUCAACUUUCCAUCAAGAAUCGUCCAUGCUGGCCUCGACCAACCAUCAACACACAGCCAGAGGUGAAGUCACUUUUAUGGAAAUGAGGAAGAUGAGUGGAAGCAGAACGCAGGCCAAACCCCCAACAGAUCCUCAGACUGAAGCAAACCUAGUACUGCCCAACAUCCGCUCUGGUGGCCGAAUAGAGGAAAACCCCUGCGGUCACAUCUACUCGUCUGAUGAAAAGCCUGAAAGCACAACAGUGAAGGUGUCUCAGUCAUCAAUGUUGGUGGAGGGUUUCGUUUUCUGAAGAGCUUUUUGGACAGAGAAAAUAGUUAAGAUCAAACAUUGACAUUGAGGGGAACAUGUCUUUAAGUCCUCUGCAUCGCACUGUGAUAGCCUCGAAUGUCUACGGAUUACUCGGCCACCCUUCCACGAGGCGUACAUCCAAAUGUUUGUGAUGCAAAUCUGCUUCAGCUUCUGGAUCAUCACAGCCAACAGUAAGGAGGUAGGAGGGGACGGGGACGGUCCAAACGCUCAAUCACCAUCACUUAUCAGCCCUGUAGGGUGGCAGUGUCCCCCCUCCAUUCUCAACAUGUCGCCGCUGUCAGGUUACAAACACACAACUCCAGUCUGCUGUUCACAUGUUCAGGACCAGCUACAGCUUGUACAAACACUUACAUUAUCUUUGUCCUGUGCUGUGGCUCUAUAUCUGGGGACUUAUUGCUGGUUGCAGUAUUUCACUUGAUAUUGUGUCUCAGCACCUUUAUGAUUUUUUUUUCAAGUGCAGAAGUAGUAAUGUGUUUCCACAUAUGAAGAAAAAACAGUAAAGCCGAAUGUUUGACUUUAAUGCAAGGGAUGCGUUUUGAAACUAGUGUAUUUUUUAUCCAUCAAUGAAUUACUAAUAACCACAGCACACUGUUUUAUCUCCGCAAUUGAAUUAGAGGUUUCGCCAUCUGCUUUCAGGAACUUUUAUUGCCCAAUGUUAAAUGUUGAAUUUAACAAGAUGCCAUGGUUGCAUUUGGACAACCAUGGAAAAUAAACUCAAGAUUUAUGAGAAAUAGCAGAGUG
Molecule: RNA transcript, 1375 nt
Organism: Notolabrus celidotus (New Zealand spotty)
Lineage: Eukaryota; Metazoa; Chordata; Actinopteri; Labriformes; Labridae
Gene name: acylphosphatase-2-like
Exons: 6
Source: RefSeq, a predicted model, not a curated record